RNAcentral lists this ribosomal RNA (382 nucleotides) under uncultured eukaryote. RNAcentral's name for it is "partial 18S ribosomal RNA". It matches the Rfam family "Eukaryotic small subunit ribosomal RNA", at positions 592 to 976 of the family's 1831-position model. The record is from RNAcentral.
CAAUAGCGUAUAUUAACGUUGUUGCAGUUAAAAAGCUCGUAGUUGGAUUUCUGUUGAGGUCGAACAGUGCCGCCCUAUGGGUGCGCAACUGGCUCGGCUUCGGCAUCUUCUUGGAGAGCGCAUCUGCACUUAACUGUGUGGAUCGUACUUCAAGUCAGUUACUUUGAGGAAUUGUGAGUGUUUCAAGCAGGCUUACGCCGUUGAAUCCGUUAGCAUGGAAUAAUAGGAUAGGACCUCGGUUCUAUUUUGUUGGUUUUGAGAGCUGGGGCAGCGAUUGAUAGGGACGGAUGGGGGCGUCCGAACUUUACUGUCAGAGGUGAAAUUCUUAGAUCGGUCAAAGGCGAACUACUGCGAACGCAUUCGCCAAGAAUGUUUUCUUUAA